This 363-nucleotide unclassified non-coding RNA is filed under the name uncultured bacterium. Its description in RNAcentral is "contains 16S-23S intergenic spacer region". The record is from RNAcentral.
UCCCCGUUGCCAGGGCAGUCUGAUUAGAAAAAUACAACUAACUAUAAGGGUUGCGCUCGUUGAUGGACUUAACCAAACAUCUCACGACACGAGCUGACGACGGCCAUGCAGCACCUGUCACUUGGUUCCAAAAGGCACACUCUGCUUUCGCAGUGCUUCCAAGGAUGUCAAGCCUGGGUAAGGUUCUUCGCUUAUCAUCGAAUUAAACAACACGCUCCACCGCUUGUGCGGGUCCCCGUCAAUUCCUUUAUGUUUUAGUCUUGCGACCGUACUCCACAGGCGGGAUGCUUAACGCGUUAGCUUCGCCACAUCCGGGGUCGAUACCGAAUACGGCUAGCAUCCAUAGUUUACGGCGUGGACUAC